This is a long non-coding RNA of Centrocercus urophasianus (Greater sage-grouse), 2035 nucleotides long. RefSeq lists it as uncharacterized. The record is from RefSeq and is a predicted model, not a curated record. NCBI's taxonomy places the organism in Eukaryota, Metazoa, Chordata, Aves, Galliformes, Phasianidae. The transcript has 5 exons.
AGAUGCCUGGCAGCAUCCGUGCCCGGUAGCUACCCUGACCUCCUCCUCGGCAUGACCACCAGCGCUUUCCCUUCCUCCAGAGAGAUGUUUUGUCCUGCUUGCAGCCACAGACUCCUCCACGGGCGCCAGCUGAGGACAUGCAUCUCUGCUGGAGGUGGCAGCAUGCCCAGUAGCUACCCUGUCCUCCUCCCAGGCACGGAUGCUUUCUGGAUUGUUCAUUCUUACAUCCUUCGUGGACUUGAGGCUUUUCUUCAGAUGCCUGGCAGCAUCCGUGCCCGGUAGCUACCCUGACCUCCUCCUCGGCAUGACCACCAGCGCUUUCCCUUCCUCCAGAGAGAUGUUUUGUCCUGCUUGCAGCCCCAGACUCCUCCACGGGCGCCAGCUGAGGACGUGCAUCUCUGCUGGGGGUGGCAGCAUGCCCAGUAGCUACCCUGUCCUCCUCCCAGGCACGGAUGCCACAGACUCCUCCACUGGCGCCAGCUGAGGACGUGCAUCUCUGCUGGAGGUGGCAGCAUGCCCAGUAGCUACCCUGUCCUCCUCCCAGGCACGGAUGCCACAGACUCCUCCACGGGCAUCAGCUGAGGACGUGCAUCUCUGCUGGGGGUGGCAGCAUGCCCAGUAGCUACCCUGUCCUCCUCCCAGGCACGGAUGGUGAGUUUUUGCCGGCACCGCAGUCUCUUGUCACCUUUGCUUUGCCGUCUCAUUGAAUCCGAUUGCUUUGCUGUUCUGUUGGUGGGCUUUGGUUCUUUGUCGUUCCCUUCAUUGUCUGUUUUUCCAUUGGUCACAUUGGUUUGCUUUCUUUUUUCUACUUGGUUUUGCUUUCUCAACUGCUCCUUUUCCUUUGCUCUGCUUUGUUCAUUUCAUGUUCGUUUGUUUUUUUUUGGUUUGCUUUCCUUUUGUUUGUUCAUUCUGUUCCUUGGCUCUUGGUUUUUGGGCGUUACUUGGCUUUGCCCUACUUUCAAAUUUACUUCUUGACAUUCUCUCUGGUUUACUUGUUUUUUCCUCCAUGCUCUCCCCUUAGAUUUUGUUAGCUUUUAUAUUGUCUCACUGUGUUGCUUUGAAUUUUUUGCUUUGCCAUAUUGUUGCAGUCAACGCCCUUGCUUUUUUUUGGUACUUUUUCCCUUUGUUUACUUUGCUCUUUUUCUUUUCCUUUUGGCUUUUGUUUCCUGCUCCUUUGGCUUUGCUUUCUAGUGCUUAUUUUUCAUUUUGGUUGGUUCUUUUUCUUUCCAGACCAUGCCUUUGCAUUCUGGUAGUAUGCCUUCUCUAUUCUCUUCUUUUUCUUUUGCUUUCAUUACGUUCUUCCUCCUUCCUCGUCCCCAUGGCUGCUUCCUUCCUCUUACCUUGCCUUUACUUACCUGACGUUAGCCUUCUGGAUUGUUCAUUCUUACAUCCUCCCUGUCCUUGCCUCUGUCCUCAAUGUGGACUUGAGGCGUUUCUUCAGAUGCCUGGCAGCAUCCGUGCCCGGUAGCUACCCUGACCUCCUCCUCGGCAUGACCACCAGCGCUUUCCCUUCCUCCAGAGAGAUGUUUUGUCCUGCUUGCAGCCGCAGACUCCUCCACGGGCAUCAGCUGAGGACGUGCAUCUCUGCUGGGGGUGGCAGCAUGCCCAGUAGCUACCCUGUCCUCCUCCCAGGCACGGAUGGAACACUUGACCACAACCCAGAGCAGGAUCAAGCUGAGCUCGUCUGCUGCCGGGGCUACUCUGAGGCACAGGGUAUGGCGAGCAGCUGCAGGCAGCGCAGCUCACACUGGAGGUGCCUGGACCCAGCUGCCGGCUGUACUUGGGCAGGGCCCUCUGUCCUCAUGGAAACGCACUGUGACAGCAUAAAGGUUCCCGGAACCCGGCUGAUGUCAUCUGCGCUGUGAUGCUCUGUGCUCUGCCUGGCCUGAAGCCGAUGCCUCCAGGAUGUUGUUCAAUGAUGUCUUAGUGUUUUUUGUGUGUUCUUUUGUGUUUGCUUUUUGUUUUUUCUUGUUUUUUGUUUGUCAGUUGUCAUCUCUGUUUUGCCAUGACGUUAAAUCCUAUUUCGUUGGUGUUC